GAUGAACGCUGGCGGCGUGCUUAACGCAUGCAAGUCGAACGAUGACCCCGUGCUUGCACGGGUGAUUAGUGGCGAACGGGUGAGUAACACGUGAGUAACCUGCCCCCGACUUUGGGAUAAGCCCGGGAAACUGGGUCUAAUACCGGAUAUGACUUCUUACCGCAUGGUGGGUUGUUGAAAGAUUUAUCGGUGGGGGAUGGACUCGCGGCCUAUCAGCUUGUUGGUGAGGUAAUGGCUCACCAAGGCGACGACGGGUAGCCGGCCUGAGAGGGUGACCGGCCACACUGGGACUGAGACACGGCCCAGACUCCUACGGGAGGCAGCAGUGGGGAAUAUUGCACAAUGGGCGAAAGCCUGAUGCAGCGACGCCGCGUGAGGGAUGACGGCCUUCGGGUUGUAAACCUCUUUCAGUAGGGAAGAAGCGAAAGUGACGGUACCUGCAGAAGAAGCGCCGGCUAACUACGUG
Molecule: ribosomal RNA, 466 nt
Filed under: uncultured bacterium
Lineage: Bacteria
Description: partial 16S ribosomal RNA
Rfam family: Bacterial small subunit ribosomal RNA
Source: RNAcentral